UAGUAACGGCGAGUGAAGCGGCAACAGCUCAAAUUUGAAAUCUGGCUCCGCUCUGGGGUCCGAGUUGUACUUUGCAGAGGGCGCUUUGGCGUCGGCAGCAGUCUAAGUUCCUUGGAACAGGACGUCACAGAGGGUGAGAAUCCCGUACGUGGCUGCGUGCCUUCGCCGUGUAAAGCCCCUUCGACGAGUCGUGUUGUUUGGGAAUGCAGCACUAAAUGGGAGGUAAAUUUCUUCUAAAGCUAAAUACUGGCCAGAGACCGAUAGCGCACAAGUAGAGUGAUCGAAAGAUGAAAAGCACUUUGGAAAGAGAGUCAAAUAGCACGUGAAAUUGUUGAAAGGGAAGCGCUUGCAGCCAGACUUGCCUGCGGUUGCUCAUCCGGGCUCUUGCCCGGUGCACUCUUCCGCAGGCAGGCCAGCAUCAGUUUGGGCGACUGGAGAAAGGCCUCUGUCAUGUAUCUUCCUUCGGGAUGACCUUAUAGGGGAGGCGUAAUGCAGCCAGUCCGAACUGAGGUCCGCGCAUCUGCUAGGAUGCUGGCGUAAUGGCUGUAAGCGGCCCGUCUUGAAACACGGACCAAGGAGUCUAACAUCUAUGCGAGUGUUUGGGUGUCAAGCCCGAGCGCGCAAUGAAAGUGAACGGAGGUGGGAACCCUCGGGUGCACCAUCGACCGAUCCUGAUGUCUUCGGAUGGAUUUGAGUAAGAGCAUAGCUGUUGGGACCCGAAAGAUGGUGAACUAUGCUUGAAUAGGGUGAAGCCAGAGGAAACUCUGGUGGAGGCUCGCAGCGGUUCUGACGUGCAAAUCGAUCGUCAAAUUUGGGCAUAGGGGCGAAAGACUAAUCGAACUAUCUAGUAGCU
This 853-nucleotide ribosomal RNA is filed under the name Brevicollum hyalosporum. RNAcentral describes it as "partial large subunit ribosomal RNA". It matches the Rfam family "Eukaryotic large subunit ribosomal RNA", at positions 81 to 952 of the family's 3401-position model. Lineage: Eukaryota; Fungi; Ascomycota; Dothideomycetes; Pleosporales; Neohendersoniaceae. The record is from RNAcentral.